RNAcentral lists this ribosomal RNA (627 nucleotides) under Cystobasidium ongulense. RNAcentral's name for it is "eukaryotic LSU rRNA". It matches the Rfam family "Eukaryotic large subunit ribosomal RNA", at positions 1 to 621 of the family's 3401-position model. The record is from RNAcentral. Lineage: Eukaryota; Fungi; Basidiomycota; Cystobasidiomycetes; Cystobasidiales; Cystobasidiaceae.
AGACCUCAAAUCAGUCAGGACUACCCGCUGAACUUAAGCAUAUCAAUAAGCGGAGGAAAAGAAACUAACAAGGAUUCCCCUAGUAACGGCGAGUGAAGUGGGAAAAGCUCAACUUUGAAAUCUGGUACUUUCAGUAUCCGAAUUGUAGUCUCAAGAAGUGUUUUCUGUGCCGGUCCAUGUAUGAGUCUGUUGGAACACAGCGUCAUAGAGGGUGACAACCCCGUUCAUGACAUGGAUCCCGGUGCUUUGUGAUACACUCUCGAAGAGUCGAGUUGUUUGGGAAUGCAGCUCAAAUUGGGUGGUAAAUUCCAUCUAAAGCUAAAUAUUGGCGAGAGACCGAUAGCAAACAAGUACCGUGAGGGAAAGAUGAAAAGCACUUUGGAAAGAGAGUUAACAGUACGUGAAAUUGUUGAAAGGGAAACGAUUGAAGUCAGACGUGCGUGAUGCGGUUCAGCUUUAGUUCGCUAGAGUGUACUCCGUAUCUUUGCAGGCCAACAUCGGUUUUGUUAGUCGGAUAAAGGUUUGAGAAAUGUGGCACCUUCGGGUGUGUUAUAGUCUCAGACUGAAUACGAUUGAUGGGACCGAGGAACGCAGCGCGCCGCAAGGCAAAGGUUCCGACCUUUCGCG